GACGAACGUUGGCGGCGUGCUUAAUACAUGCAAGUCAACUGAAGCAGUGGUAGCAAUCUCGCUGUGGAGGUGGCGCACGGGUGAGUAACACGUAGGUAAUCUGCCUUCAGGUCUGGCAUAACUCCGGGAAACCGGGGCUAAUAGCAGAUGAUGCAGCGGCUCGACAUCGAGACAGUUGUUAAAGCUAUGGCGCCUGAAGAUGAGCCUGCGUCUGAUUAGCUAGUUGGCGGGGUAACGGCCCACCAAGGCAACGAUCAGUAGCUGGUCUGAGAGGAUGAUCAGCCACACUGGAACUGAGACACGGUCCAGACUCCUACGGGAGGCAGCAGUAAGGAAUAUUGCUCAAUGGGAGAAAUCCUGAAGCGGCAACGCCGCGUGAGGGACGAAGGGCUUUUGCUUGUAAACCUCUGUAGUGAGAGAAAAAAAUCCCAAUCUUUGGGACAUGAUGGUAGCUCAAAAGUAAGCCCCGGCUAACUACGUG
Molecule: ribosomal RNA, 481 nt
Filed under: uncultured bacterium
Lineage: Bacteria
Description: partial 16S ribosomal RNA
Rfam family: Bacterial small subunit ribosomal RNA
Source: RNAcentral